CUCCUCCUGAUCUUUUACUUGGCAAGACAGGAUGACAGAGAAUAAUUAAAUGUGUGUGUUUAGGAUCAGUAAGCUUCCUGUCAAUUACAGGCAACCACUCAGAGCUUUUCUAGUGGUAGGCCUUAUGUUUUUUCAUUAUUUAUUAAGUACAGAUGAGCAAAGUAACCCAGACAUUAAUGAGGGCUUGCGAACUGUGAUACCUGCCAUGCUGCGAACAUUCCAUGUACCUUACUGCCUCCACACAACAGUGAAGGUGACUUACACAUUUGCUCUUGCACUUCGCUGAUGCUGGCCUCACCUGGCAGAAGACGUCAUGUGCUGGCUUGGCCAUGGACCAGCCUCAUCAGGGCCUUCACUGGGCUGUGUCUGAUGUGGUCACUGUCCCCAGGCCUGCUCCGCUCGCCUUACCCAGGCCCUCAGGGACUGCAGCUUGGUGUCAGGGCCCCUGGUGGUGUGGGGCAGCCCCCCCACUGCUCCCCGCAGUGACCCCAGCCUCCCUCCUCAGCCAGCUUAACAACGGCACCUCACAUUCCACCGCCUACCUACAGAGAUCCCAUGUGCUGUUUAUCCUGGAUAAACUGUCAUGCAAAUAGUAGGAGACAGAAACAGACCUCUGUGAAGUCCCUUCAAUUGUUCACUGCAUACACAAAAGACAGAGCAAAGAUCCUUCUCCGUAAUGGAGUUGUAGCAGAAUUUUUUCACAGAGAUAGUGGUGUUUUAGCAAUAAGAAGACCUUUAUUAGAUUGGGGGAGGAGAAGAUAUGGCUGGUACAUGCGAUUUGGAGAUCUCAGUGCUCCUUCCACAAGAAUGGAGGCUGAUAAAGAUGAAGGGACCUUUGAGGAACUCCAGAGCUAUGUAUACCUCUUAUUUUAUGUUAUUCUAAUAAAAGCAUAGCUGCUUCUCCAAUUCAGCUGUCUAGUUCAGUUGGCAAGA
Molecule: long non-coding RNA, 933 nt
Filed under: Numida meleagris (helmeted guineafowl)
Lineage: Eukaryota; Metazoa; Chordata; Aves; Galliformes; Numididae
Description: lncRNA (ENSNMEG00000020662.1)
Source: RNAcentral